GAUGAAGAACGUAGCGAAAUGCGAUACGUAGUGUGAAUUGCAGAAUUCCGUGAACCAUCAAAUCUUUGAACGCAUAUUGCGCUCGAGGCUUCGGCCGAGAGCAUGUCUGCCUCAGCGUCGGUAUUACCCCUCGCUUCUCAACCCCUGGUUGAUGCCUGCCUGCCUUUGCAGUUGGCUAGAAGCGGAUCUGGCUUUCCCAAUUGCCUUUGGUAGUUGGGUCAGCUGAAGCACAGAGGCUUGAGCAAGGACCCUUAUUGGGCUUCAACUGGAUAGGUAGAACUGGUCUUAGGACCAACUACACUAAGUUGUUGCUUGUGGUCUUUGUCUGGAGGCCAGCAGGAAACCUUUAUACCUUCGACCUGAGCUCAGGCAAGAUUACCCGCUGAACUUAAGCAUAUCAAUAAGCGGAGGA
This 412-nucleotide unclassified non-coding RNA is filed under the name soil metagenome. RNAcentral describes it as "partial contains 5.8S ribosomal RNA, internal transcribed spacer 2, and large subunit ribosomal RNA". The stretch from base 1 to 120 matches the Rfam family "5.8S ribosomal RNA", at positions 35 to 154 of the family's 154-position model. The record is from RNAcentral.